UUCCUUCCAGGCUGUGGUUGCGGGAGCGUGCGGACGUCCGUUUUGCGCAUCCCUAGUCCAGGACAGACGCGGUCAAAGGGAUCCACGUAAGCCGAUGCGUGCGCGCAAAGGCGAUCAUGGCGCGUCCUAGAGGUCAGUCGCACCGUCCGUCAUACACACUGAGGCAAUAGGUGCCUCGCGGGCGAGCGGGCUAGUCGUGAGGCCGUUGCGGCGGUUGAGCAAACGUCCCGGUGCGCAGGUGUGGGGUCAAAAACCAGGUCAGCUGGGGGAA
This is a non-coding RNA of Collinsella stercoris DSM 13279, 271 nucleotides long. The record is from Rfam. NCBI's taxonomy places the organism in Bacteria, Bacillati, Actinomycetota, Coriobacteriia, Coriobacteriales, Coriobacteriaceae.